UCAUUUUGUGUUGUAUUGUCUUCAAGCAACAAGUUUAUUUUAAAAUAACAAACCACUAUCUCCCGUAGUUAUAAACAAACUCGGGAAAAUGAACCCAAUGGUUUUCCGUAUGCUAUUACUUCGUUUCAUAACCUCCUAUAUUUGUUAUUGGAUGGUAGUUAUUUUCUACGGGAGAUACCGGGAUGUGCAGUCAGGACGAUACUUGCCGUAGGAUUUUGGAACGUUGAAAGUAUUAACUUCUUGAUGUCAAUCAAAAUGUUGAUCUUUCAAUAAAUCUUUACAGUAAUGUAAAAAUCCUACCCAAAAACUAAAAA
Long non-coding RNA from Nicrophorus vespilloides, 314 nucleotides. RefSeq lists it as uncharacterized. NCBI's taxonomy places the organism in Eukaryota, Metazoa, Arthropoda, Insecta, Coleoptera, Silphidae. The record is from RefSeq and is a predicted model, not a curated record. The transcript is spliced from 2 exons.